CAUAUUUGAGAUUAAAGAAAUUCACAUCUAGUAUUCUUUUAUUUUUAUUUUUACAAGAUUAAAUUAUUGUAAAAUAUCAUGGUUUUGGGGGCCAUGGCCUCCCUGGCCCCCACUGAAUUCGUCCCUGCUUGUCCAAAAGAUUGAGAAAGUUUGAUUGAAGGAAGUGAGCUGGUUGUGUUUAGUUGACCCUUCCCUUCAACUUUCUUCUUUCUUUUCUUAUGCCAAAGCCUCCGUUUAUUCAUCAUUUAGUUGUUUAUCUUCAUGUUAGGAAGCUCUAAGGACAGCAUCUGCAAUCAGCUUGGCCCCCAAGUUUUACAUAUAGCAUCAAAGGAAGCAAAAACAAAGAGGGAGAGUUGGACGGGUUUGGUAAAAACUAGCAACUAGCAACUAGUUUCUAGUUUUCCUUUGGAAAUCGAGACUACUUCUGACCCUUCACAUGUGCAAGGUGCCCGGCACUCUGCAUCAUUUCACAAGUUUAACUAUCAUCUCUUUAAUAUAUAAUGAACCAUACACUUAAAGGACACACAUACUUGUGGAGAGAGAGUUUCGGGCGAUAUGCACUAAGUCUUCUACUAUUUCUACUUCACUUUCUGUACUACAACCCGAGAGUUCCUUCUCACCUACUCCUCUACUCUUCUUUCUCACAAACACACAAAGUUCAGCGCAAACUCACCAUCCACAUUAUGAGAAAACGAGAGGGAGUCAACUAGUGGUUAGUAUAGUGAAAAUCGAGUAUAAGCCUCAAGGUUAUCAAGCUUGAGUGAGUAAAUAUGGAGUAGAGUUCCCUGAGUUGACGAAGAGCAGUCAACAACUUCGAAUGGGAUAGUAACGGUCCCAGAGCGAAGGUAAGAGCACUCUUACUAGUAGGUAUGCUAGAGUACUCAUGAUGAAGGACAUUUCGUGAAGCCUGAUUAUCUCUUGAGAUGAAGCCACAGACUGGCGUUACCUGCUAUGUUGUGAAGAUAACCAGUAGGCGCACACAAUCUUAAUGGGGAGCCAUGAGGUAUCAUAAGUAAGACAAAAAGACAAUACAUGAUGUCUUAUGAAUGAAAUUAAGUUAUGAUGUCUUAUGAAAGAAAGUAUGUUAUGAUGUUUUAUGAAAGAUGGUGAGGAAUCUAGAUAGGAGAAACAUAAAGUUCUGCAAAACAAGCUCAUAUCCAUGCAUAUAUGCUCAUAUUUAUGAUCAGUCAUGUUUAUGUUUUAUCUUUGUGUACGCUUGUGACAUAACUUAUUAAGAUUUUAAGAAAA
Juglans microcarpa x Juglans regia is the source of this 1248-nucleotide long non-coding RNA. RefSeq lists it as uncharacterized. The record is from RefSeq and is a predicted model, not a curated record. Lineage: Eukaryota; Viridiplantae; Streptophyta; Magnoliopsida; Fagales; Juglandaceae. The transcript has 2 exons.